Molecule: ribosomal RNA, 1435 nt
Filed under: uncultured bacterium
Lineage: Bacteria
Description: bacterial SSU rRNA
Rfam family: Bacterial small subunit ribosomal RNA
Source: RNAcentral
GGGUGAGUAAUGCGUCGGAACGUACCGAGUAAUGGGGGAUAACGCAGCGAAAGUUGUGCUAAUACCGCAUACGCCCUGAGGGGGAAAGUGGGGGAUCGUAAGACCUCACGUUAUUCGAGCGGCCGACGUCUGAUUAGCUAGUUGGUGGGGUAAAGGCCUACCAAGGCGACGAUCAGUAGCGGGUCUGAGAGGAUGAUCCGCCACACUGGGACUGAGACACGGCCCAGACUCCUACGGGAGGCAGCAGUGGGGAAUUUUGGACAAUGGGGGCAACCCUGAUCCAGCCAUUCCGCGUGAGUGAAGAAGGCCUUCGGGUUGUAAAGCUCUUUCAGCUGGAGAGAAACGGUGAGCUCUAACAUAGCUUGCUAAUGACGGUACCAGCAGAAGAAGCACCGGCUAACUACGUGCCAGCAGCCGCGGUAAUACGUAGGGUGCGAGCGUUAAUCGGAAUUACUGGGCGUAAAGCGUGCGCAGGCGGAUUGUUAAGCAAGACGUGAAAUCCCCGGGCUUAACCUGGGAAUGGCGUUUUGAACUGGCAGUCUAGAGUGCGUCAGAGGGGGGGUGGAAUUCCACGUGUAGCAGUGAAAUGCGUACAGAUGUGGAGGAACACCGAUGGCUGAAGGCAGCCCCCUGGGGAUGACACUGACGCUCAUGUACCCAAAGCCGUGGGGUAGCAAACAGGGAUGGGAUGACACUGACGCUCAUGUACGAAAGCGUGGGUAGCAAACAGGAUUAGAUACCCUGGUAGUCCACGCCCCUAAAACGAUGUCAACUGGUUGUUGGGGGAGUGAAAUCCCUUAGUAACGAAGCUAACGCGUGAAGUUGACCGCCUGGGGAGUACGGUCGCAAGAUUAAAACUCAAAGGAAUUGACGGGGACCCGCACAAGCGGUGGAUGAUGUGGAUUAAUUCGAUGCAACGCGAAAAACCUUACCUACCCUUGACAUGUCCGGAAUCCUGCAGAGAUGCGGGAGUGCCCGAAAGGGAAUCGGAACACAGGUGCUGCAUGGCUGUCGUCAGCUCGUGUCGUGAGAUGUUGGGUUAAGUCCCGCAACGAGCGCAACCCUUAUCAUUAGUUGCUACGCAAGGGCACUCUAAUGAGACUGCCGGUGACAAACCGGAGGAAGGUGGGGAUGACGUCAAGUCCUCAUGGCCCUUAUGGGUAGGGCUUCACACGUCAUACAAUGGUCGGUACAGAGGGUUGCCAAGCCGCGAGGUGGAGCCAAUCCCAGAAAGCCGAUCGUAGUCCGGAUUGUUCUCUGCAACUCGAGAGCAUGAAGUCGGAAUCGCUAGUAAUCGCGGAUCAGCAUGUCGCGGUGAAUACGUUCCCGGGUCUUGUACACACCGCCCGUCACACCAUGGGAGUGGAAUCUGGCAGAAGUAGGUAGCCUAACCGCAAGGGGGGCGCUUACCACGCUGGGUUUCAUGACUGGGGUG